Molecule: ribosomal RNA, 139 nt
Filed under: uncultured bacterium
Lineage: Bacteria
Description: partial 16S ribosomal RNA
Rfam family: Bacterial small subunit ribosomal RNA
Source: RNAcentral
UACGGGAGGCAGCAGUGGGGAAUAUUGGACAAUGGGCGCAAGCCUGAUCCAGCAAUGCCGCGUGUGUGAAGAAGGCCUUAGGGUUGUAAAGCACUUUCAAUAGGGAGGAAAAGUUAUGCGUUAAUAGCGUAUAGCCGUG